AAUGAACGCUGGCGGCGUGCUUAACACAUGCAAGUCGAGCGAGGCCUGGGGGGCAACUCCCAGAGUCGAGCGGCGGACGGGUGAGUAACACGUGGGUAACCUGCCCGGAAGUGGGGAAGUACCUCGGGGAAACCCGAGCUAAUACCGCAUGACAUCUCCGGGACGAAAGUCCUGGCGAUCAAAGCGGGGUCGCAAGAUCUCGCGCUACCGGAUGGG
RNAcentral lists this ribosomal RNA (216 nucleotides) under uncultured bacterium. Its description in RNAcentral is "partial 16S ribosomal RNA". It matches the Rfam family "Bacterial small subunit ribosomal RNA", at positions 29 to 229 of the family's 1533-position model. The record is from RNAcentral.